UACGUAGGGUGCAAGCGUUGUCCGGAAUUAUUGGGCGUAAAGGGCUCGUAGGCGGUCCAUCACGUCGGGAGUGAAAAGCUGGGGCUUAACCCCAGUCCUGCUUCCGAUACGGGUGGACUAGAGGUAGGUAGGGGAGAACGGAAUUCCUGGUGUAGCGGUGAAAUGCGUAGAUAUCGGGAGGAACACCAGUGGCGAAGGCGACUACCUGGCCUGUUCUUGACGCUGAGGCGCGAAAGCUAGGGGAGCAAACGGG
RNAcentral lists this ribosomal RNA (253 nucleotides) under uncultured bacterium. RNAcentral's name for it is "partial 16S ribosomal RNA". It matches the Rfam family "Bacterial small subunit ribosomal RNA", at positions 524 to 776 of the family's 1533-position model. The record is from RNAcentral.